UGGGGAAUAUUGGACAAUGGGCGCAAGCCUGAUCCAGCAAUGCCGCGUGUGUGAAGAAGGCCUUCGGGUUGUAAAGCACUUUUAUCAGGAGCGAAACGCUGUCGGCUAAUACCCGGCGGAACUGACGGUACCUGAGGAAUAAGCACCGGCUAACUUCGUGCCAGCAGCCGCGGUAAUACGAAGGGUGCAAGCGUUAAUCGGAAUUACUGGGCGUAAAGCGUGCGUAGGCGGUUUCUUAAGUCUGCUGUGAGAUCCCUGGGCUCAACCUGGGAAUGGCAGUGGAUACUGGGAGGCUAGAGUGUGUCAGAGGGUGGUGGAAUUCCCGGUGUAGCGGUGAAAUGCGUAGAGAUCGGGAGGAACAUCAGUGGCGAAGGCGGCCACCUGGGACAACACUGACGCUGAGGCACGAAAGCGUGGGGAGCAAACAGGAUUAGAUACCCUGGUAGUCCACGCCCUAAACGAUGCGAACUGGAUGUUGGUCUCAACUCGGAGAUCAGUGUCGAAGCUAACGCGUUAGGUUCGCCGCCUGGGGAGUACGGUCGCAAGACUGAAACUUAAAUGAAUUGACGGGGUCAUAACUGUUUCCC
RNAcentral lists this ribosomal RNA (587 nucleotides) under uncultured bacterium. RNAcentral describes it as "partial 16S ribosomal RNA". It matches the Rfam family "Bacterial small subunit ribosomal RNA", at positions 355 to 937 of the family's 1533-position model. The record is from RNAcentral.